Molecule: ribosomal RNA, 583 nt
Filed under: uncultured bacterium
Lineage: Bacteria
Description: partial 16S ribosomal RNA
Rfam family: Bacterial small subunit ribosomal RNA
Source: RNAcentral
UGGGGAAUUUUGGACAAUGGGCGAAAGCCUGAUCCAGCAAUGCCGCGUGUGUGAAGAAGGCCUUCGGGUUGUAAAGCACUUUUGUCCGGAAAGAAAUCCUCUGGGUUAAUACCUCGGGGGGAUGACGGUACCGGAAGAAUAAGCACCGGCUAACUACGUGCCAGCAGCCGCGGUAAUACGUAGGGUGCAAGCGUUAAUCGGAAUUACUGGGCGUAAAGCGUGCGCAGGCGGUUUUGUAAGACGGAUGUGAAAUCCCCGGGCUUAACCUGGGAACUGCAUUCGUGACUGCAAGGCUAGAGUAUGGCAGAGGGGGGUAGAAUUCCACGUGUAGCAGUGAAAUGCGUAGAGAUGUGGAGGAAUACCGAUGGCGAAGGCAGCCCCCUGGGCCAAUACUGACGCUCAUGCACGAAAGCGUGGGGAGCAAACAGGAUUAGAUACCCUGGUAGUCCACGCCCUAAACGAUGUCAACUAGUUGUUGGGGAUUCAUUUCCUAGUAACGUAGCUAACGCGUGAAGUUGACCGCCUGGGGAGUACGGUCGCAAGAUUAAAACUCAAAUGAAUUGACGGGGUCAUAGCUGUUUCC